UUUCUCAUCUGGUUUCACUUCAGAUAGCACCUGCAAAUGGCAACAUAAACCAGACAUUAAAUAAACAAUUUUUUCUGUUUAUUAAAAAAAUAUUAACAAGAAAAAAAUAUUUAGGUACACAAGAAUUCAGAUCCAAGACAUCUAUAUCUACCUGUUAUAAAAGACGGAUUAUUGGAUAAAAAUAUCCUCAAUAUUUUAUAUUGAUUAGGAGAUUUUAGCAUAUUUUCUUUCCCUAUUUAGAGUUUGAUUGUUAGAAAUAGAGGUGAUGAGAAUGUAAUGGGUGUGAUUAUUAUCUAUAAAAUAAUUCUUCUUUUCCUUGUAUAGUUCAAGUUGGUUAGAGAUUUUGAUCUUGGAAGCUCUAUUUUCACUGCCAUGUAAAUAGCUGCUACUGCUGUUACUCUAUCGCCGCCACUGUUGAGGUCUGAUGAGGUCAAUAGUGAGCUAGAAAGGUGCACCUUAGUAGAGUUGCCACGUGCCACCAGUACCAGCUGUUAGUAUACACACUAUAGUUAAUUGUCAAAUGUAUUGUACAGCUUAUUUUCUUUGUAUAGUUGUAGGUUUACCUGUAAACUGUUUUACUACUUUGUACAACUGUCAAUUCUUAUAACAACUAGUAGUAAACUAUAUCUAUAAAUACAUCUUGUACCUAAGGUUCUAAGUGUGCUACAAUAAUAAAAAUAUUCAGUUCUCUAUAUUUUCUCUAUUCAAUUUCUCUAAGAUAGUAUCUAGAGUUUUUUCUUCAACAAUCUUGCUUCUUCAAGUUCUUCAUUGAUUUCCUUAUUGUUCAAGUUGCGAUUGCUUCCACUUCAUCCUCUUCUAAUUUCAAUCAGUAAUUAUUUGAGGUUGAUUCACUUCCUUAAUUCACGUUUUCAAUUGGUGAUAUGUUCUCAAUUCAGCUCGAAAUUGAUUCAGCUUCGUUAAUUUGAGGUUUCAAUCAGUGAAUUGAUCCUGAUCUGACUCGUGAUUGCUUCUUUUCAAGUGUUUUCCAUUUCAAUUGGUGAAUUGUUCUUUGUUCCUAAUUUUCUCUGUUCAAUUGUAUCUCUGAAUUUGCACUUUGCGAAGGCUUCACUCGCUUUGCUCAUGUCUUCAUAAAUUCUGCUUGCUAUGGCUUUUGCUUCGUUUCCUACAUCUACUGCUAUGAAAUUGGAUGAUUCUAACUACUUAUAUUGGCAUCAAUAUGUUGAGCCAGUAAUUAAGUCACAUAAACUCCAGCGUUUUGUUGUUAAUCUAGUGGUUCCAUCUAGAUAUCUCAAUGAACAUGACUGUGCUGCUAACACUGUUAAUCCUAAAUAUGAAGCUUGGGAAGUUCAAGAUCAAACACUGCUAGUGUGACUUCAGUCUACUCUCUCCAAAUCUGUUAUGUCUCGUUUUUGGAUGCACUCAUUCCUAUGAGGUGUGGAAGAAGAUUGAUGAGUACUUUAGUCUCCAGACUAAAUCUCGUGCGGGACAGCUACGUACUGCUAUGCAAGGUAUCAAACUUGACUCCAAAUUGAUAGAGGAGUACUUGCUAAAAAUUAAGAGCUAUGUUGAUGAACUUGUUGGAGUUGGUGUUCCUAUCAGGCAUGAAGAACCUGUUGAUGCCAUCUUGGAUCUAAUUAUGCUUCCGUUGUUUAUGUCAUUGAAAGUAAGAAAUGCAUUCCUUCCAUUACUGAGAUUGAAGCUCUCUUGUAUGGUCAUGAAAACAUGGCUUACUCGUUAUGUACAAGAGACUCAGCUUAAUCACACCAUCUCUAAACUACACUCAAGUCUCCUACUCUCGUGGUGCUAAUAAAUAGGAGGUUUUCAAGGAUCCUUUCAUGGUGGAGGUCUUGGCAAAGGAAGAGGUGGAGGUUUGCUAACUUUCAAUGCCAAAUUUGUCUAAAAUUUGGUCAUACAACCAAUGUCUGCACUUCAAAUUUGAUUUCUCUAAUCAGAUGCAUGAGUCACUGUUUUUUAUUGAUCCAGCUCACAACAAUCUAUUCCCUAUUCAGCUGGUUCAUAGAAGACUUCAAACACUUGGCUGAAUCUGAAUGCUAAAUCUAAUAACAAUAAUCAACCUAAUUCUAUGUUGAUGAAGUCUAACUCUCAAGGUAAUGCUAAUACUUCUGGAUACCAGAUUCUGCUGCCAGUUUUCAUGUCAUUGGUGAACCACCAAAUAUUAAACAACUCCAACAAUUUGAAGGUCCAAAUCAGAUAUUCAUCGCAAAUGGUGCUGGUUCAUCUUCUAUUGUAUCACCUUAUGAUUCUAGAGUCUUGUUUCAGUUAAAAAAUUGUUAAGUGUUACUUUGUUUGUGUUAGAUAUAGUGUUUUAUGUUAAUUAGGAAAACAUAGUCCCUAUGUUAAUUAUGUUGUUUUUACAUAUUCAUUUGUUUUUGGGCUUAGCCCACAUUCUUAUUAUUGUAAAUACAUUAUCCUAUGUAUAUUUUCUACACAAAGGAGAUUAAUCCUAUAUCUAGUUUUACUAUAUUCA
Vigna angularis (adzuki bean) is the source of this 2449-nucleotide long non-coding RNA. RefSeq lists it as uncharacterized. The record is from RefSeq and is a predicted model, not a curated record. NCBI's taxonomy places the organism in Eukaryota, Viridiplantae, Streptophyta, Magnoliopsida, Fabales, Fabaceae. The transcript has 2 exons.